Long non-coding RNA from Austrofundulus limnaeus, 237 nucleotides. RefSeq lists it as uncharacterized. The transcript is spliced from 3 exons. The record is from RefSeq and is a predicted model, not a curated record. Lineage: Eukaryota; Metazoa; Chordata; Actinopteri; Cyprinodontiformes; Rivulidae.
UUAUUUUAAAAGUAUUUUUAAACGUUUAAACUGUAUUUUAGUGAAAAAUUACAAAAACAAUUACAAAAGAACCCGUCCAGGGGACUUGCAUAUAUUUUCCUUUUUCUGCCUGGAUUACUGUGAGGCAUCAGGACACAACAAAAAAGACCUGCAGACGACCUGCUGUGGAGAUCCCUAAAGAACAAGUUGUGUCGUCACAUCAACGGGCAACAAGCUUUAAGACGGUUACGCAACAAC